GGAUUAGUGGCGAACGGGUGAGUAACACGUGAGUAACCUGCCCUUGACUCUGGGAUAAGCGCUAGAAAUGGCGUCUAAUACCGGAUACGAGCUUCAGCCGCAUGGCUAGGAGUUGGAAAGAAUUUUGGUCAAGGAUGGACUCGCGGCCUAUCAGCUAGUUGGUGAGGUAAUGGCUCACCAAGGCGACGACGGGUAGCCGGCCUGAGAGGGUGACCGGCCACACUGGGACUGAGACACGGCCCAGACUCCUACGGGAGGCAGCAGUGGGGAAUAUUGCACAAUGGGCGAAAGCCUGAUGCAGCAACGCCGCGUGAGGGAUGACGGCCUUCGGGUUGUAAACCUCUUUUAGUAGGGAAGAAGCGAAAGUGACGGUACCUGCAGAAAAAGCACCGGCUAACUACGUGCCAGCAGCCGCGGUAAUACGUAGGGUGCAAGCGUUGUCCGGAAUUAUUGGGCGUAAAGAGCUCGUAGGCGGUUUGUCGCGUCUGCUGUGAAAUCUGGGGGCUCAACCCCCAGCCUGCAGUGGGUACGGGCAGACUAGAGUGCGGUAGGGGAGAUUGGAAUUCCUGGUGUAGCGGUGGAAUGCGCAGAUAUCAGGAGGAACACCGAUGGCGAAGGCAGAUCUCUGGGCCGUAACUGACGCUGAGGAGCGAAAGCAUGGGGAGCGAACAGGAUUAGAUACCCUGGUAGUCCAUGCCGU
This 700-nucleotide ribosomal RNA is filed under the name Frigoribacterium sp. RNAcentral's name for it is "bacterial SSU rRNA". It matches the Rfam family "Bacterial small subunit ribosomal RNA", at positions 89 to 803 of the family's 1533-position model. The record is from RNAcentral. Lineage: Bacteria; Bacillati; Actinomycetota; Actinomycetes; Micrococcales; Microbacteriaceae.